Molecule: RNA transcript, 2365 nt
Organism: Lotus japonicus
Lineage: Eukaryota; Viridiplantae; Streptophyta; Magnoliopsida; Fabales; Fabaceae
Gene name: F-box protein At4g22280-like
Exons: 6
Source: RefSeq, a predicted model, not a curated record
AUCGGAAUUUAAAUUCCCGUUUUUAAUAAAGUGGGGUGCGAAACCCAAUAGGUGGGGUGCCAAACCAAAUUCCCCUCAACUCUUCACUCCAUCUUUCUCCAGCGGCAACAAGCUAGGGUUUAUGCUCCCACCUGCAUCCUUCUCAAUCCUCCUCAGAUGUUGAUUCCUGUGAAGCGAAAAAGGCGUAGCGAGACUGCAAAUGAAGAGAACACUGGUUCAAUCGUUGAGAUGUUGACUCCGCCGAAGCCAAAGCGAGGAAGUGAAAAUGUAGUGAACAAAGACAGGCUCAGUGAUUUGCCCGAUUGCCUUCUCCUUCACAUUAUGUCAUUUAUGAAAGCCAAAUGCGCGGUUCAGACUUGCGUAUUAUCCACAAGAUGGAAGGAUCUCUGGAAAUGUGUUCCUUCGAUCACAUUACUUUCGCCGGACUUUGUGAGAUUGAAGAGUUUCACUGAUUUCAUGAAUAAGCUUUUGGACCUUCGCGAUCGCUCGGCUGCACUGCACAGCUUUGAUUUUGAGCGUCGUGGCUCUAUGGAGUUUCGCUACCACAAAAGGGUCGUCAGCUAUGUUUUGUCACAUAAAGUUCAGCAAUUACGAUUUGCUGUGGUAUAUAACCUGUCUCAGAUCCUUCGCAUUUUUUCAUGCCAGUCUUUAACAUCUCUGGAGCUUUUAGUUCACACUGGGCGGUCUAAUCCUUCUGGCAAUUUAUUUCCGGUAUCUUCAUGUCUCAAUUUGCCAGCAUUAACCAGCUUGCAUCUGGGUUGUUUCACCUUCUCCGGGGGCAUCAAUCGCCGAGCCGAGCCCUUUUCGGCUUUUAAGAAGUUGCAUAGUUUGAUCAUUGACAAUUGUAGCAUAAAGGAUGCACAAACCUUCUGCAUAUCAAGUACAACACUUGUUGAUGUUACUAUUAUACAUACUUUGUAUGGGGACUUUAAAGAAGUUGAGCUCUCUGCACCAAGUCUUCAUAGGUUGGAUUUUACGGGCUCCACUCCUCGUCAGCGGCUCUGUGGGAGUAGUCUUUCUUCUGUGAAAGAAUUAAGUAUCGAUGUAGACAUGCGAGCAUAUGCCCCAGAGCCUCCUUUGAUUCUACUCAGCUGGCUGGAAGAGCUUACUAAUAUCAAAUCAUUGACAGUCUCUACAAGUACUCUUCAGGUUCUCUUCUUAAUCCCCAAUUUAGUAAAGCGUAAGCUCGCGUUCUUGUGUCACUUGAAGUCAUUGAAAGUUAAAGUGGAACGGUUUACAUCAUUGCUUAGAACAGCUAUGAUAGAUGUGAAGAUACAGAAAGCCGCUACUGUGUCACAGAGAGAAGCUGCCAGGUUACAUAAAGAAGCUGAUAUCAUAGAGAAAACAAAAUCAGAGCAUGCACCGAUACCUGCUGGAAUACUGAACUUUUUGCUUCAAAACUCACCCUCAGCAGAAGUUAAGACCAAAAGCUGCUAUAGGAGGAUUUAUGGCAUGUUGUAAGGGACUAAAGUUAUAUGGAGGUACACGAGAUUGAGUCUCAUAUAUUGCUGAUGGAGUCUUCAAUUUGAAUAGCUUAAUUCAAACGUAGAGAUCGAACAACUUGAUAGCAGUAGCUCAUGCUAAUUUCUAAUGUACAAAUACCCUGCCUUUUGUAGAAAGGUGGGCUUGUCUCUUGAUGAACAGUUCAAAAAUGACUAUGCACUCUACCGUGAUAUUUCACUCUAUUCCCAAAUAUGUUAUAGUCGAUAAUAUUCUCAUGAAACUACUUCGACCAACAUGUGCAUAAGGGGGCGAUUCUCAUCCGGAAGAGCACUAGUUUACAGGGAUGAUGGAGGUUACAGGGGUGAACGAGCCAGAGGACGUGCAAACUAUGGAAAUGGCCGAAGCUAUGGUCGUGGUGAUUUUAAUGGCAGGGGGAAUUUGGCUUUAGGAAUGGCCCUCGAGGAGGUUUUUCUAGCCGUGGAGGUGAUGGGUAUCAGAGAAGUGAACAGAUGGGAGCUGGCGGUGGCCGCAUGAAUCGUGUGCCGUGUGCCUGCUGUUAAUUCAACGGCCAAAACUACAGCUGUUCGUGUUCGUGUGUCUGCUUGAGAAACUACUCUUCAUUGAGGCAGUCAGACUAAUAGAAACUGUGGUUGAAUUUGCAGUAAUUGAGGCAGUUAGAAAGAUUUAGAGGAGCCUUUUUUUUGACAAGUUUAUAAGGUUCUAAUUUUUUGUCGUUCUUUUGAUAUUGGUAGUCUUGGUAAAGGUAGUUUUCCAAUUUAUGUUAAUUAUAAUGUCAUUCUAGGUAGUUUUUGUGCUUCCCCCAACUUUUAUGAAUAUAUUCAUAUAUUUUUUCAAAAAUAAACAUAUAAAUAACCUCAACAUGACAAAGACCCAAUAAAGUCAUAAUAAAACCAUUAAGCUU